CUUAGGCCAUUUCCUGUUGCCUGCAAGAUGAACUCUCAACUAGCUCUCCAGCACCAUCUCUGCCUGCGCACGGCCAUACUCCCAGUCACCAUGAAAAUGAACUGAACCUCUCAAACUAAAUUUGGUCUGAUCAGGGAGCAGAAGAUGAGGUGUCUCACAACCCCAUCUGCAGUGAAUACCCAGGAAAAUCAGUGACUUCUGAUGGCCUCGAACACAGAUUUCCACUUGUCUCUAUCCCGGCAGGUUUCAAGUCAACAGCAACAACGUGCCGGCCCCAGGUGUUCCUUCGGAAUCUGCAUCCUAGACAGACCCCCAAAGCGGCUCUAGUUCUAGGUGAUCCAGCCAGUCAGCUCCAGGCGGACCUGCAGAACCUGGGCAGAAACAGUAGGGGAACAGUCUGCACUCCUUUCUUUCCAGCCUCGGUCGGAAUUCCAGCUUUCCAGGGUCCCUGACAACGCCCGGAUUUCAGCCACAACUACACAAAGGCUGGGAAGUUGCGUCUCAAAUCCCAGCUGAAUGGCUGAGGAGCAUAUUAACAUAUCCAAGACGCGCGCAGGUCCUCCAGCAUCCCACGUCCCCUACCCAGGGACUGGCGGUACUGCCCUUUCCCCAGAAGCUCAUCCCUGGUAUAACCCAGUCAUUUUGGCUACGUUCACCCCUUUUUGGUCCCCUUUGGCAUCUUGGUCGCUGCUCCAAGUUCCCCCUCUCUCCACUCUCCUCAGAGUCAGGCUCACUCUGGACCUCUCCAGAUGCCUCCCGCUAUGCUCGACAUCUCCCUCAUAGCUGCACAGAACAAAACAAAACCCUUGUCCUUUCUCCACACCUAGGAGCAAUCAUGUCUUCCUUUUCAUUCAAAUUAAUAAAAUAUUUGUUGAGUGCA
Long non-coding RNA from Myodes glareolus (Bank vole), 880 nucleotides. RefSeq lists it as uncharacterized. The record is from RefSeq and is a predicted model, not a curated record. Lineage: Eukaryota; Metazoa; Chordata; Mammalia; Rodentia; Cricetidae.